This 174-nucleotide ribosomal RNA is filed under the name Barbonymus gonionotus. RNAcentral's name for it is "partial 12S rRNA". Lineage: Eukaryota; Metazoa; Chordata; Actinopteri; Cypriniformes; Cyprinidae. The record is from RNAcentral.
CACCGCGGUUAGACGAGAGGCCCCAGUUGAUAUUAUAACGGCGUAAAGGGUGGUUAAGGAUGAAAGAAAAAUAAAGCCAAAUGGCCCCUAGGCCGUCAUACGCUUCUGGGUGUCCGAAGCCCUAACACGAAAGUAGCUUUAAUAAACUAACCUGACCCCACGAAAACUGAGAAA